Molecule: ribosomal RNA, 400 nt
Filed under: uncultured bacterium
Lineage: Bacteria
Description: bacterial SSU rRNA
Rfam family: Bacterial small subunit ribosomal RNA
Source: RNAcentral
GGGGAAUCUUGCGCAAUGGGCGAAAGCCUGACGCAGCCAUGCCGCGUGAAUGAUGAAGGUCUUAGGAUUGUAAAAUUCUUUCACCGGGGACGAUAAUGACGGUACCCGGAGAAGAAGCCCCGGCUAACUUCGUGCCAGCAGCCGCGGUAAUACGAAGGGGGCUAGCGUUGCUCGGAAUUACUGGGCGUAAAGGGCGCGUAGGCGGAUCGUUAAGUCAGAGGUGAAAUCCCAGGGCUCAACCCUGGAACUGCCUUUGAUACUGGCGAUCUUGAGUAUGAGAGAGGUAUGUGGAACUCCGAGUGUAGAGGUGAAAUUCGUAGAUAUUCGGAAGAACACCAGUGGCGAAGGCGACAUACUGGCUCAUUACUGACGCUGAGGCGCGAAAGCGUGGGGAGCAAAC